CCGUGGGGCAGCUUACACAUGCAAGUCGAGCGGAGUGAUGGUGCUUGCACUAUCACUUAGCGGCGGACGGGUGAGUAAUGCUUAGGAAUCUGCCUAUUAGUGGGGGACAACAUUUCGAAAGGAAUGCUAAUACCGCAUACGUCCUACGGGAGAAAGCAGGGGAUCUUCGGACCUUGCGCUAAUAGAUGAGCCUAAGUCGGAUUAGCUAGUUGGUGGGGUAAAGGCCUACCAAGGCGACGAUCUGUAGCGGGUCUGAGAGGAUGAUCCGCCACACUGGGACUGAGACACGGCCCAAACUCCUACGGGAGGCAGCAGUGGGGAAUAUUGGACAAUGGGCGCAAGCCUGAUCCAGCCAUGCCGCGUGUGUGAAGAAGGCCUUAUGGUUGUAAAGCACUUUAAGCGAGGAGGAGGCUACUGAAGUUAAUACCUUCAGAUAGUGGACGUUACUCGCAGAAUAAGCACCGGCUAACUCUGUGCCAGCAGCCGCGGUAAUACAGAGGGUGCAAGCGUUAAUCGGAUUUACUGGGCGUAAAGCGCGCGUAGGCGGCUAAUUAAGUCAAAUGUGAAAUCCCCGAGCUUAACUUGGGAAUUGCAUUCGAUACUGGUUAGCUAGAGUGUGGGAGAGGAUGGUAGAAUUCCAGGUGUAGCGGUGAAAUGCGUAGAGAUCUGGAGGAAUACCGAUGGCGAAGGCAGCCAUCUGGCCUAACACUGACGCUGAGGUGCGAAAGCAUGGGGAGCAAACAGGAUUAGAUACCCUGGUAGUCCAUGCCGUAAACGAUGUCUACUAGCCGUUGGGGCCUUUGAGGCUUUAGUGGCGCAGCUAACGCGAUAAGUAGACCGCCUGGGGAGUACGGUCGCAAGACUAAAACUCAAAUGAAUUGACGGGGGCCCGCACAAGCGGUGGAGCAUGUGGUUUAAUUCGAUGCAACGCGAAGAACCUUACCUGGCCUUGACAUAGUAAGAACUUUCCAGAGAUGGAUUGGAUGCCUUCGGGAACUUACAUACAGGUGCUGCAUGGCCUGUCGUCAGCUCGUGUCGUGAGAUGUUGGCGUUAAGAUCCCGCAUGAGCGCAACCCAUUUUCCGUUAUCUUGUCAGCGAGUAUGUCCGGGAACUUUAAGGAUACUUGCCAGUGACAGACUGGAGGAAGGCGGGGACGACGUCAGUCAUCAUGGACCUUACGGCCAGUCUACACACGUGCUUACAAUGGUUCGUACUAGGGGUAGCCUACCUUACCGGAUAGAGAAAUGCCCC
Molecule: ribosomal RNA, 1252 nt
Filed under: Acinetobacter calcoaceticus
Lineage: Bacteria; Pseudomonadati; Pseudomonadota; Gammaproteobacteria; Moraxellales; Moraxellaceae
Description: bacterial SSU rRNA
Rfam family: Bacterial small subunit ribosomal RNA
Source: RNAcentral